AGAGUUUGAUCAUGGCUCAGGACGAACGCUGGCGGCGUGCUUAACACAUGCAAGUCGAGCGGGGGACGUGGAACGGAAGGUUUCGGCUGGAAGGUUCAUGUUCUAGCGGCGGACGGGUGAGUAACGCGUGAACAAUCUGUCCCAGACAGGGGGAUAACACUUGGAAACAGGUGCUAAUACCGCAUAAGACCACGAGACCACAUGGUUUAGGGGUAAAAGGAGCAAUCCGGUUUGGGGUGAGUUCGCGUCCGAUUAGCUAGUUGGCGAGGUAACGGCCCACCAAGGCGACGAUCGGUAGCCGACCUGAGAGGGUGAUCGGCCACAUUGGAACUGAGGAACGGUCCAAACUCCUACGGGAGGCAGC
Molecule: ribosomal RNA, 364 nt
Filed under: uncultured bacterium
Lineage: Bacteria
Description: bacterial SSU rRNA
Rfam family: Bacterial small subunit ribosomal RNA
Source: RNAcentral